GUGUCAAGUCCCACGCGCGGCCCGCGGAGAACCCAGGGGCGGCCCGCGCGCGUCGGCCUAGCGGGGAGGGCUGCUCCGGGACACGGUGCGGCGGCCGCGGGCGAGUUGGACGCGCUGGCAGAGCCGGGCCGAAGGCGGCGGGCGUCUCCGGGCAGCCAUGUUCGCGGCGCCCGCCCGCGCAGCAGGACGGAGCCCUGACAGCAAUGUUUGCUACGGCCUCCCUCUGCAGUCAGCCUAAAGCAAGGAGCUGGAGGUAGAUGAGGCAAAGGUAAAGGAGACCAAAACAGUAUUUUAAAGAAAAAAUCAUUUAUCUUCAAAUAGGCUCCAAACCUAAGAGUGUCCAGGCUGGAGGUGAUCUCGGCUUACCGCAACCUCCGCCUCCGGGUUCAAGUGAUUCUGCCGCCUCAGCCUUCCUGGGUAGCUGGGAUUACAGGCACGCAUCACCACGCCCGGCUACUUUUGUAUUUUUAGUAGAGAUAGGGUUUCUCCGUGUUGGUCAGGCUGGUCUCGAACUCCCAACCUCAGGUGAUCCGCCCGCCUCAGCCUCCCAAAGUGCUGGGAUUACAGGCAUGAGCCACCAUGCCUGGCUAUUAACCUUGUUUCUAACUUCAGCAUUGCACAUCUCCUUAGUAAAGCAGUAGCCAUUAACAAGUCAGGUCCAACAACCAUUUUCCUCUGGUCCUCAAGCAGAGACUCAGAGCCAGUUACACAUAAACUAUUUCAUUAUAACAUGAAAAUAGCAAGCCUUGGGCUAUUGCAAAAGGCUUUUCAAAUGUUGACCUCUAACUUGGAGAAAAUAGAGGGAAGCAGAAAUAUAGGGUGCUAAUUUGUGCUAUAACCUGGUCUCAUGUCGUGGUAUAUUCCCAGUUGCAACAUUUUAAAUUUAUAAGUGAGAAAGUAAAACAAAGCUUCAUAUCUGUGAAAGUGAAAAAUUGUCCAGAAGUCUUCUAUUCAAAGACCAAUUAGCUUUUUCUUCCCAAUAACUUAUCAGAAAGAAAUGGGUACUUAGAAACCUAAGGGGUUCUUUAAAUAGGAGUCAGAAAAAAUAUAUAAAAAUAAAAAACAAAGCAAGAAAGAACAUUGUAUAAAAAUAAAAUGUUCUUUAAAGAUGACUGCCCUCUCUUGAAAGAUGAGUGCUAUAUUAAAAGGGUAGAUGUAUCUCUAUAACUCAUCGUGUUUAUAUGUAAAUUCUCUGGCAGAUAUAAACCCAUCUUUGUCUUCAUCUUCUUUAUCAAAAAUAUCCUCCACCAAAGCAUCAUGAUGACUUUCAUUCACCACCGCACCAUGUUUUUCAAACUCCUUCUUUAAAUAUGCUUUAACCUACAAAAUAACAGAUCCCAUUAAUAACUUGGAUUCAUAAGAUACCCACAUUGAGCCAAUCAAUAUCACAGACAUGGACUGUUAUUAUAUUUAGUUCAUUAACUAAAUAUAAUACCUUCUAAACAGCCAUUUUAUGACAUAGUUUUAAUGAUAAUUAAAAAAUAAUAGAAACUUUUUCCCUUAAAAAAACUGUUGCUAAACUGCUAAAGUGGAGACACAAAAUAUUGCUCAAAGGCAGGGCCAGGUGUGGUGGCUCAUGCCUGUUAUCCCAGCACUUUGGGAGGCCCAAGUGGGAAGAUUGCUUGAGGUCAGGAGUUGGAGAUCAGCCUGGCCGAC
RNAcentral lists this long non-coding RNA (1656 nucleotides) under Homo sapiens (human). Its description in RNAcentral is "HSALNT0340055". Lineage: Eukaryota; Metazoa; Chordata; Mammalia; Primates; Hominidae. The record is from RNAcentral.